AGAGUUUGAUCAUGGCUCAGGAUGAACGCUAGCGGCAGGCCUAACACAUGCAAGUCGAGGGGUAACGAUGAUUUAGCUUGCUAAAUCAGGCGACGACCGGCGCACGGGUGAGUAACGCGUAUGCAACCUACCUUUAACUGGGGAAUAGCCCGGAGAAAUUCGGAUUAAUGCCCCAUAAUGUAUACACUUCGCAUGUUGUGUAUAUUAAAGCUCCGGCGGUUAAGGAUGGGCAUGCGUGACAUUAGGUAGUUGGUAAGGUAACGGCUUACCAAGCCUACGAUGUCUAGGGGGCCUGAGAGGGUAGUCCCCCACACUGGUACUGAGACACGGACCAGACUCCUACGGGAGGCAGCAGUGAGGAAUAUUGGUCAAUGGACGCAAGUCUGAACCAGCCAUGCCGCGUGCAGGAAGACGGCUCUACGAGUUGUAAACUGCUUUUAUACGGGAAUAAACUUAGCUACGUGUAGUUAAUUGAAUGUACCGUAAGAAUCAGCACCGGCUAACUCCGUGCCAGCAGCCGCGGUAAUACGGAGGGUGCAAGCGUUAUCCGGAUUUAUUGGGUUUAAAGGGUGCGUAGGCGGAAAUGUAAGUCAGUGGUGAAAUCUUGCAGCUUAACUGUAAAACUGCCAUUGAUACUGUGUUUCUUGAGUAUAGUUGAG
RNAcentral lists this ribosomal RNA (659 nucleotides) under uncultured bacterium. Its description in RNAcentral is "bacterial SSU rRNA". It matches the Rfam family "Bacterial small subunit ribosomal RNA", at positions 8 to 656 of the family's 1533-position model. The record is from RNAcentral.